This is a long non-coding RNA of Gigantopelta aegis, 2231 nucleotides long. RefSeq lists it as uncharacterized. Lineage: Eukaryota; Metazoa; Mollusca; Gastropoda; Neomphalida; Peltospiridae. The transcript is spliced from 3 exons. The record is from RefSeq and is a predicted model, not a curated record.
UGCGUAACUUGAAUAUAUAUAUAAACUGCCGCCACCUUCGAUUCAUUCAUACUGCUGUUUGAUAUACGCACUGCAAAACGUGUUUACGAUAGUAAUAAUACCAAGCUAGUAACAGCUGGUGAGGUAGAACACUCGACAAACUUUGUUAUACUGGAAGCCGAUAGUUGGCUCUAAGAAGUGGUCACGUUCGAUUGGCUGUCUCGGAGUAUCGCCAUCACCCCGGUUUCUCUCGCUCGCCUAUAAGAAAACAGUAUUCGAUCGGUUCUGUCAGAGAUUGCCUCUCACUCAGCGUAACUUGAAACAACUUUCAGUGAUCCUGUGGAGUACUUUCGUAUCACGGUCGUGUUCGAUUGGAAUUUAUUUACCGCUUGGAACCAGUGGGAUUUUUACUUCUGUUUAAUCAUAAGUUCUAUUGUAAGCGUCUGAAGCCAAACGUUAUCAGCAUGUGGUGGCCGCAAGCAGACGAGAGCGCAGACGACUGCCGUGGCAGUGGGAUGUUCACGAGGAACUGUGUCUCAUUCACCAGGAGUUUCCGAAAACGUUCCGGGAAUGGAAAUGGCCGUGACGUCACAACGUAAAGCUGAGGUCUCUAGUCCAGACGCUGUUCUUACUUUACUUUUGAAGACUAAGGCUAAGAGUUUCGAGAGAGGAAUCCGCCAAUCAACGAUCGACUUGCAUCACAACUUGCAGCAGCAAAUCUUGGCCAGCUUUGUUUCUCGUAAACACUACGGCAGCGCUGGAUAGUGAGGUCCGUCAUGAUAGCUUUUGUAACAGUACUGAAUGUAUCGUCUCGUCAAAGCAAGGCUGUGCAAAUACCGACCUCUGACCCGGACACGGGUUGCACGUGUGCACAGUGUGUCCAGAUCGACUGUACAAUAAUUUAUAUGUGUGUAUGUAUAUGUAUAUGUAUAUGUAUACAAACAACACCCAACAAAAUAUAGUUACAUAUAUGUGUAAAUACUCAGUCUGGUGAUCGUUCCAUUGCACAGAGAACAAACUGUACUAGUUAGGACACAACGGGUGCAACCAUGCAAGACUCGUAUUUAAUAAUGUGAAACAUGUCGUGUCUACUCAAAAAGAAGGCCACUCCAUUGUUUUCUCUGACGUCAUUACUAGCUACAACCAUCCACCAUCUUCAAGCUGCUGCAACUAACCGCUAGCGAUAUCCAUGAAUGACGUGUUUCAAAUGAAUACUUCUUUGAAAUGAAGAAAUCGUCUAGUUCAGACAUAUUUACUCAAGACUGGCGGUUUCAGUAAUAAUUACUGAACACAAACAAGAUCAAUGGUAUUACCCUCGUUUUCUAAAUACAAUUAUCGUCUACAAACAACUUUCCGUGCGACAGGCGUUGGUGAUCAAAACUUCGGAAGAUGGAUUCAUGCGUUCCUCACAGACAUGACAAAGUGAUGAUCGUUGUGGAAAGACUCGUACAGAAUAUAUAUUUAUUUUAUCUUUUCAUAGAUUUCCUUUCUAUUCCAAGUCAGUUGAUGUGGACAUUGCAGCUAUGUGUUUGUAUGUUUUACACAGGCGUCAAUGCACUCUGGAGUGGGGGUCUGUUGGAAAUGUGCAGAGCGUCUUCAGUUUCGUCAGAUCUAUACAUGUUUGUCAUGUUCCAUAAUACUGUCUGUAUUUCGGAUGUAUCUAGUUUAUUGUAUUAAUAUAUUUAUAAACAAUAAAGAUAGAAUCGCUCAUUAAAAUAAAAUGUUCAAAUGCACGAAUUACGUUUAAUAACAUACAUUUCCAACAUGGAAUUAAUGAUAAGGAAAAAAAAGCUUAACAUUUGAUUGAUUGAUUAAAACGAUAAUUUUAAUAUGUUUUUCACGUAUGAUAUACGCUAAUUCUGUUACACCUCAGGGCUCUAUGCACAUGUGUAACACAUGCGACACAUCUUUCCUGUGAAUCAUGACAACAGAUGUGCCUCUGAGUCGAGUUGUGUGAGGUUUAAUGACAUUGACAAAAAUAACGCCAAUGUUUAACUGUCUUGACCUGAAAUCCAGAUCUGAGCAUUUCACCCUAUGUUUUCAUCAUCGUUUUCUUUUUUCAUUUUACGUUUCAUUUUGUUUCUUUGAUUAAACCGCAUCACAUCCUUGUAUUUAUUAUAACGAGUCGCUAGCCGGUUAUGGAAUGUCAGAAGAUGUACAUUUUGAGUGUGACAUAAGACGUACAAAUGGCAUACACAUGUAAUCUAAUUUCAGUUACUUUGUUUUGUACGAAAAUAAAAACGUUUAGUCAA